CGAGCGUCAAACCCUAGCCUCAUUUCCCCAUCCCUCCCGAUCCACUCGCUCACGACGGCCACAGAGACGGCGCCAGCGGCGACCGAAACGGGCCGGCCAUGGCGGCACGGUAGCUGUCCUCGCCGGAGCAGCGCAUAACAAACUGAAUCCAGUGCGCUCCUCCGGCGAGCAUGGCUCCGGUGUCACGCGCAUGGCGCCCUGUACAGUGGACGGGAGGUCAUUUCGCCGGCUGCUGCCGGCACUGGCAUUCGACGGCGACGGCGACCUCCAAGGUGUGGAGGCCAGGCGACGCGCGCGUGCGUGAGCGCGGCAGCGGCAGCUGCUGCUUCAUUCCGCGCGCCACCUCGGAGGGCGGCGGCGUUCCGGCCAUGGCAUGCACGCACCGCGGCGGCCGUGCGGACCCUGAAGGCCGGCAUCAUCUAGGUAAACUUUAUGAAAUUUGAGUUUAGAUGAACCUUAUAUGCAGAGUAAAAAAACCUGGAGGGAGUACAUUUCAUUUUACUCAUGGUUUGUCUAAGUUGGUAGAAAGAAUCAAAGAAACGUCUUUCCAGCGGCUGUACCGUUGCAUGCCUUCAUGUCAUUUCUUGUGUCACCUAUUUCCUGCCGUGAGCAUGCUAGUAGAAUUUUCUAAUCCAUCUCUCUCUCUCUUACCCGUUGCUAGUAGCCUAGUAGUACUACACUCACGUGAGCAUGGCAGAGCUAUCUCUCUCUUUCUCUUUACUGUUGCUAGUCCUACUAAUCACUAAUUACGUGAGCAUGCGGGAACUUUCUACACAGAGGUCACGUCGUCAGUUCGUACAAGCCUGUCCAGAGAGCAUGCUGCCACAUUGGCCGCGAAUCCCUGCAGUACGGACCGUUUGAUACACUAAUCCAACGGUGUAGUUGCAGCCACUUGUCUUCUAGCUAAUGACAUUAAAUGUGAGCCAUUGGAUAAAUAAGAUCCAACGGUCCAUAUGAGUUGACAUUCAUACAUCUAUACUACUGGAGCAUCAAUCCUAGCCACUGGUUUUCCAAAUCUAACGGCUGAGAUUAGAGGGAUUCGUAAUGAACAAUAGCAUGCAGCUGAAUCUACUGGGUUCUGGAACUAUCGCAUGGUACCUCCUAGAAAAGAAGACCUAUGCCUCUUCUGCCAUGUUGUAAUUGUCAGGUUGUGAACUUGUGAUGAGUAAAAAAUAAACGUAGGUUGUGAGUCCAUGCGGGAGGAGAAAUAGAAGCUGAAGUAAACAAUUUGUGGGUUCCACCAUGUACAUCUUUCUUUAUAUUCUUAUAGAAAAAGGUGACAACAGGCAGUGGUUGUAUUGUAGCAAUUAGUAAAUUUCUAAACUUCAUUUUGCGCACAUCAACAAUAUAUAUUUUUUUGCCC
This is an RNA transcript of Triticum aestivum (bread wheat), 1363 nucleotides long. RefSeq lists it as uncharacterized. NCBI's taxonomy places the organism in Eukaryota, Viridiplantae, Streptophyta, Magnoliopsida, Poales, Poaceae. The record is from RefSeq and is a predicted model, not a curated record. The transcript is spliced from 2 exons.